This 281-nucleotide long non-coding RNA is filed under the name Sorghum bicolor (sorghum). Its description in RNAcentral is "long non-coding RNA (SBIC_LNC016054)". The record is from RNAcentral. Lineage: Eukaryota; Viridiplantae; Streptophyta; Magnoliopsida; Poales; Poaceae.
CUGGUGGUUGGAUGGAAAUAGCAAAGAUGUGAAAGUGUUGCUUGGAGAGUGAAGAUGGAAGUGAUGAAGUGAAGUGAGAAUGGGUGGAGAGGGCCACACCCGAACCCCUGGUAUUUAUAGUUUGAAAAUGCAGGUGGAUUCGGGGUGAGGGCAACGGCUAGGAGCCUCCCCCAGCUGGCCGUUGGCCAGAACCGUUGGGGGGGGGUCGGCCGACCCUAGGGGCGGCCGCCCCCUGGUGGGCCCCGCUGCUCCCCAGCUUUUGUCUCCAUCUUCCAAUGGCU